Neofelis nebulosa (Clouded leopard) is the source of this 669-nucleotide long non-coding RNA. RefSeq lists it as uncharacterized. The transcript has 3 exons. The record is from RefSeq and is a predicted model, not a curated record. NCBI's taxonomy places the organism in Eukaryota, Metazoa, Chordata, Mammalia, Carnivora, Felidae.
AGAAAAGCAGAAAGCUACAAGGAUCCUGGAACUCUGAUGAAUUUUUGAACUAUCAUACCCUGGACUGCUGCUGCUUUAAGCUUUCUGAAAUUGUGAAAUAGAACACACAUUUAGAAAAGUGCACAGUGAUAGAUGUACAGUGUAAUGAAUUAAGGUGCAGAGAUCUAUGCUGGUGUUGUGGAACAGGCCAAGGGAUAUACAGUAUGCUUGCUCUCAUGGAGCUCACAGUCUUCUUCAGGAAGCCAAUGAUACAGGGGAAUUGAGGAGCAUUCAAGGGCAACUGUCUCAAAGUGAGGAGCUUUCCUUUGGCAGUGAAGGCCUGCACAUCAUGAUUCUUGAAAAUGAACUUGUUUCCUUGUGAAACAGUGUGUGUGUUCUGAUUUCAACAUACGUUUUAUUUGUUUUACUUUUGAUCACCAAAAGUCCCCCAAAUUAUAUGUAACAGGAUUUUGUUCACUGGUUCUAUAUUCAGCCACAGGAGGGGAUACUUUUAACUUAAAAGUAUCAAAAAUUCUAAUCUCUGUCUUUAAAAAUCAUACUUUAGAAUCACAUUUUUCUGGGGCUCCUGGGUGGCUCAGUCAGUUAAGCAUCCGACUUUGGCUCAGGUCAUGAUCUCACAGCUUGUGAGUUCAAGACCCGCAUCGGGCUCUGUGCUGACAGCUCAGAGCC